Molecule: long non-coding RNA, 728 nt
Filed under: Zostera marina
Lineage: Eukaryota; Viridiplantae; Streptophyta; Magnoliopsida; Alismatales; Zosteraceae
Description: long non-coding RNA (ZMAR_LNC001455)
Source: RNAcentral
CCGUACCCGCCCCGUACCGCUCCUCGUACCCGGCCAAAAUCCUCAAUCAUGGUAAUCCUGCUGCAUCGUCUUAAUUGUAACCAUCCGGUAGUUGCACCUGAUAAGCAACCGUGUUAAUCUUAGCGAUGAUGCAAUAAGGACUAUAGAAGUGGCACAAACUCUGUGAUCUAUAAAAUUUUGUCGAUGAAGUUCUAGUCGAAUCCAAACCCAACCCCCAAUGUCAAAUUCGUGUUGUUUCCUUUAGGCGUCGACAUACUUCUUCGUUCGGGCUGAGAGCUUGUCAAAUCUGAGAAUCUCCAGGAAUGUAAGGGACCAUCGACGGAGAUUUCCUUCCAUAAACUAAUUCGAACGGAGAUGCGGCCAAAUUAUGGUGGAAGGAUGUGUUGUGUUUUGGGACGAUAUGUAGUUGACAAGCUCUUGGCAUAUAGCUCCUUCCAGAAACGACUCAUUAUUUUGAUAAACAUAAUUAAUUAAUCCUAAUUACACAAUUGAUCAUAUAAGGUGAAAUCAUUUUAGAUUUUACUCUCCAUGGAUCGAUCACUAAUAAUUGCCAUUGGAACGAACAGCAGAAUUUCUAGAAUCUCGAUGAACAUAAAAUCUGUUACUUUUAGAUGAAAGACCCUAACGGAAUUUUAGAAAAAAUGAUAUAUUUAUGAUUUUGGAAAACUAAGAGGUGAUAUCUACCAAAACCCUUAUAAAAAAGAAUAAAUCCAUGUUUGAUUUUAUCG